This 649-nucleotide ribosomal RNA is filed under the name uncultured Pseudomonas sp. Its description in RNAcentral is "bacterial SSU rRNA". It matches the Rfam family "Bacterial small subunit ribosomal RNA", at positions 8 to 652 of the family's 1533-position model. Lineage: Bacteria; Pseudomonadati; Pseudomonadota; Gammaproteobacteria; Pseudomonadales; Pseudomonadaceae. The record is from RNAcentral.
AGAGUUUGAUCCUGGCUCAGAUUGAACGCUGGCGGCAGGCCUAACACAUGCAAGUCGAGCGGUAGAGAGAAGCUUGCUUCUCUUGAGAGCGGCGGACGGGUGAGUAAUGCCUAGGAAUCUGCCUGGUAGUGGGGGAUAACGUUCGGAAACGGACGCUAAUACCGCAUACGUCCUACGGGAGAAAGCAGGGGACCUUCGGGCCUUGCGCUAUCAGAUGAGCCUAGGUCGGAUUAGCUAGUUGGUGAGGUAAUGGCUCACCAAGGCUACGAUCCGUAACUGGUCUGAGAGGAUGAUCAGUCACACUGGAACUGAGACACGGUCCAGACUCCUACGGGAGGCAGCAGUGGGAAAUAUUGGACAAUGGGCGAAAGCCUGAUCCAGUCAUGCCGCGUGUGUGAAGAAGGUCUUCGGAUUGUAAAGCACUUUAAGUUGGGAGGAAGGGCAUUAACCUAAUACGUUAGUGUUUUGACGUUACCGACAGAAUAAGCACCGGCUAACUCUGUGCCAGCAGCCGCGGUAAUACAGAGGGUGCAAGCGUUAAUCGGAAUUACUGGGCGUAAAGCGCGCGUAGGUGGUUGUUAAGUUGGAUGUGAAAUCCCCGGGCUCAACCUGGGGAACUGCAUUCAAAACUGACUGACUAGAGUAUGUU